This 343-nucleotide ribosomal RNA is filed under the name uncultured fungus. Its description in RNAcentral is "eukaryotic LSU rRNA". The record is from RNAcentral. Lineage: Eukaryota; Fungi.
AGAGUUAAACAGUACGUGAAAUUGUUAAAAAGGAAACGCUUGAAACCAGUAUUGCUUGCAAAUAAUCAGCCUCAUCUUGUAUGAGGUGCACUUGUUUGUCGGCAGGUCAACAUCAGUUUGACUUGGGGUAAAAAGCCAGAAGAAGGUGAUCCAGGGUUUACUCUGGGUGUUAUAGCUUCUGGUCCUGCCUUGGGUUGGACUGUGGUUUGCAGCAUUUUUUGGGUACCCAGUCGCCUCUUGAACCCUUGGUGCAGACAGCUUGCUGACUGUUUCGAGACUUAUGGAGCCCGGUUGGUUUUCCACACCAAUGCUAAGGAUGCUGACGUAAUGGCUUUAAACGACC